This 253-nucleotide ribosomal RNA is filed under the name uncultured bacterium. RNAcentral describes it as "partial 16S ribosomal RNA". It matches the Rfam family "Bacterial small subunit ribosomal RNA", at positions 524 to 776 of the family's 1533-position model. The record is from RNAcentral.
UACGUAGGGGGCUAGCGUUGUCCGGAAUCAUUGGGCGUAAAGAGCGUGUAGGCGGCCCGGUAAGUCCGCUGUAAAAGUCAAAGGCUUAACCUUUGAAUGUCAGUGGAUACUGCCGGGCUAGAGUCCGGAAGAGGCGAGUGGAACUCCUGGUGUAGCGGUGGAAUGCGCAGAUAUCAGGAAGAACACCAACGGCGAAGGCAGCUCGCUAGGACGGUACUGACGCUGAGGAGCGAAAGCGUGGGGAGCGAACAGG